AUGUUAUGCAGUGUUGAUCUAUACUUUAAUGCACCUGUGUUCACGCAUGGCCAGCUUUAUGUAGUAGUGUCGCGUGUGACCUCAAAAAAGGCUUUGAAAAUCCUGAUUGAAAAUGAAGAUCAUGGCAAGCACCAUUUUGUUGGUUCAUGUCUUGCCAAUGUCUACAGCAAUGUGUGCGUCCUCUGUCUCAUCUGUGGCAUUACCGUACGGCAACUCAUAAUGGGCCUAUCAAGCAUACUGACCUUGUGA
This 249-nucleotide ribosomal RNA is filed under the name Triticum aestivum (bread wheat). Its description in RNAcentral is "partial small subunit ribosomal RNA". Lineage: Eukaryota; Viridiplantae; Streptophyta; Magnoliopsida; Poales; Poaceae. The record is from RNAcentral.